UCCUCGAUGGUCUAACGGUCAUGAUUUCCGCUUGUCAAUCCUUAAACAGGAACAAGCGCGGGAGACCUGGGUUCGACUCCCAGUCGGGGAG
Molecule: transfer RNA, 91 nt
Filed under: Aspergillus niger
Lineage: Eukaryota; Fungi; Ascomycota; Eurotiomycetes; Eurotiales; Aspergillaceae
Description: tRNA-Asp
Rfam family: tRNA
About the family: Transfer RNA (tRNA) molecules are approximately 80 nucleotides in length.
Source: RNAcentral